RNAcentral lists this ribosomal RNA (253 nucleotides) under uncultured bacterium. RNAcentral's name for it is "partial 16S ribosomal RNA". It matches the Rfam family "Bacterial small subunit ribosomal RNA", at positions 524 to 776 of the family's 1533-position model. The record is from RNAcentral.
UACGGAGGAGGCAGGCGUUAUCCGGAAUUAUUGGGCGUAAAGCGUCCGCAGGUGGCACCUCAAGUCUGCUGUCAAAGACCGGGGCUUAACCCCAGAAAGGCAGUGGAAACUGAAGUGCUAGAGUGCAGUAGGGGUAGAGGGAAUUCCCGGUGUAGCGGUGAAAUGCGCAGAUAUCGGGAGGAACACCUAUGGCGAAGGCAGCUCGCUGGGACGUUACUGACGCUGAGACGCGAAAGCGUGGGGAGCAAACAGG